Long non-coding RNA from Amphiprion ocellaris (clown anemonefish), 544 nucleotides. NCBI's taxonomy places the organism in Eukaryota, Metazoa, Chordata, Actinopteri, Pomacentridae. The record is from Ensembl.
AUAUCUAUGGUCGGCACGUCUGGUAGCAUCUCUGGCUGCUGUUGAUCUUGUUUUUGGAGUAAAACACGGUGGAAGCUGAAUUAGUGAGGAUGACUCCUGCUCCUGUCAUCUCUAAGCUCCUCACACAUCUUUACCUGCACAUGAGGAAAAUCACUCCUGUAGAAUGCAGAUGUUCAGAGGGAGAUGAUGCCACAUCUGGUCCAGCUGAUGGAAGGUCUUGAAGUUCUCUGACUGGCCUCGACUGAAGAUGGUCGUCUCUCUGGAUUUAAGAUGCACAAUGAGGGACGUCUGCAGCGACUGAGAAAGAGUCUCACCACAUCCUGACAUGAGGAAAAAGACUUUACUGAAAACUACAAUGAGAAAAACUAUCAGACAGCAGACGGCUGCAUUCAAGAGAAGAAGACCAUCAAACAUCCACGUCAGCUGAUGGAGGUCCAAGAGUCUCACCAAACAAACAACCUACAGAGUGAAGACCUCAAAUCUGAUUGGACGGCCUCCUAUUCAGCCACGUGUGAACAAAUGCCUCUAAGUUGAUUUGUCUUCU